Molecule: long non-coding RNA, 1252 nt
Filed under: Panax ginseng (ginseng)
Lineage: Eukaryota; Viridiplantae; Streptophyta; Magnoliopsida; Apiales; Araliaceae
Description: long non-coding RNA (PGIN_LNC009439)
Source: RNAcentral
UGAUGAACACAAUAAUUAGAAUUCGUUUCAUAAACACUAUAAUCACAAUUUACAUGUUUACAAGGGGCAUACCCCAGGUAAUUAAAAAAAACGAUGAUACAAUAGCUUAAUAGCUCAAGCAGUAAUGCAGUAUGUUGAUCUUCAGUUUGCAGUUUGUAGUAUGCAGUAUGCAGUUUGCAGUUUUCAAUAUGCAGUUUGCAGUAUAUUCCAGCCACCUUCAAGAAUUUCUUCAGUUUGCAGUAUGUUGAUCUCAGUUACAAUUCCUUAUUUGGGUUCAUCUCUGUUAUAGGGCUUGCUUCCCUUGAUCUGCAUUAAAAUCAACUAUUUGAGUCUCUUUCAAGUAUCUUAAGUAACAACACAAAUAGAUUUAUGCAGGCCAUCAACUUGUCAAACAAAAAAAAAUCAAGUAGUAUUCCUGAAUUCAUUGAAGGCUCAAGUAUCUUAAGUAACCACAUAUGUUGUUGGUGGUGAAAUGCAGUUCACAUCAAGGAACAAAGAAGAUGUUAAAUUAAAUAUGUUGCCAUUUAUACUCAAAAUCUCAAAACAGAAAUCAGAAAUCUCCCAAAAAAAAAAACUAAUGAAAUGAUAUAGACCUAAUUGUUGUUGAUAUAUACUCACAGAACAAGCAUACACACAUAAAAACCAAAAGUAAUUGAGAAGGCCCCAUCUAGAAAACUAAGCUCAUAAAGUUACAGAUAUGUUUCUACACAGUUCUUUAAUCAAAAACUGGUGAAAGAUCAGCCCUAUUGAAUUAAUUCCAGCUAAAGAACCAAAAUAAGGCCAUAAACACAUAAAACCCAAUUCACUUAUCAAUAAUUUAAUACAAAAUUUUUCAAACCUUCUCUAUCAGCAAUGCAUUCCUUAAUAAAUAUAUGAACAAACCCCCAAACUCUCUCUCAAACCCAUAAAUUCUUCACAGUUUCUUGAAGUCAUGAAUCAAUUCAACAAGAAAAUCAAACCAACCCCUAAUGUAUAUAUGAUUAAACACGCAUAAAAAUAAAACUACAAAAUAAUAAUAACAAAUUUCUAUCUAAUAAAAUUACUAUACUCAAAUAACAUCACUGAACACACAUAAUUAUAUACAUAAAGGAGAUAUAGAGUUUACCCGAACAAGCGGAGUCGAACGGAACUGAUUUAACUGGUGUUGAAUUGAGUGGGUCAGCUUUUCUCUUGCAAGCUCGAGGCAUGGUGAGAUAGGUUUGAGAUUAAAAUUGAGAGAAUGGUGUUUGGAUUUCAGGUCUGUAUUUGUAAA